UCUUCCGUAGUAUAGUGGUCAGUAUGUGAGCUUGUCAUUCAUGAUUCCGCUCGAGACCCGGGUUCAAUUCCCGGCGGGAGAG
This 82-nucleotide transfer RNA is filed under the name Schizothecium vesticola. It matches the Rfam family "tRNA". Rfam says of the family: Transfer RNA (tRNA) molecules are approximately 80 nucleotides in length. Their secondary structure includes four short double-helical elements and three loops (D, anti-codon, and T loops). Lineage: Eukaryota; Fungi; Ascomycota; Sordariomycetes; Sordariales; Schizotheciaceae. The record is from Rfam by way of RNAcentral.